ACGGCGGAAUCCGAAAAGCCUUUUACAGAGUAGGAA
This 36-nucleotide non-coding RNA is filed under the name unclassified sequences. Its description in RNAcentral is "DUF805b RNA". It matches the Rfam family "DUF805b RNA". Rfam says of the family: Bacteroidetes, Chlorobi (1 example), Proteobacteria. Lineage (Flavobacteria) The record is from RNAcentral.